GGCUGUUCCAAAGGUAGUAAGUUAUCUCGAUUGUUUAUAGUCAGUUACAGAUCAAACUCCUUAUUUUACUCUCACUACUGCACUUGACUACUGUAAU
Callithrix jacchus (white-tufted-ear marmoset) is the source of this 97-nucleotide Y RNA. It matches the Rfam family "Y RNA". From Rfam's summary of the family: Y RNAs are components of the Ro ribonucleoprotein particle (Ro RNP), in association with Ro60 and La proteins. The record is from Ensembl. Lineage: Eukaryota; Metazoa; Chordata; Mammalia; Primates; Cebidae.